AUCCUGCUGCGCUGCCGCUGAGAGGAAGAGGGAGCUGCCCAGCGGCCUCACGCUGUAACCCUCUGCUCACCCGACAGCUACAAGAACGCCACGAAGCUGUUGUACGGCGCACAAUGGAAAGGAGCCAGAAGCCAAAACAGAAGCAUAACCGUUGGUCGUGGGGAGGCUCUCUCCAUGGGAGCCCUAGCAUCCACAGUGCAAUCCAGACAGGCGGUCAGUUUCCACCAUGAAUCUUUCGAAAUAUGUUGAUCCCGUCAUUAGCAAGCGGCUCUCCUCUUCAUCUGCAACUUUACUAAAUUCUCCAGAUAGACUCGCCGCCUGCAGCUCAGCCCAUGGGAGAGCAGCGUUGUUAACAGACUCCUGACGCCCACACAUUCGUUCCUGGCCAGAAGUAAAAGCACAGCUGCCUUGUCUGGAGAAGCACAUCUUGCAGCCCCAUCAUCAUGCCCUACAAAGCUGCACACUCUAGAAAUUCGAUGGAUCGACCAAAACUCUUUGUAACACCACCUGAGGGCUCUUCUCGCAGGAGGAUCAUUCAUGGCACAGCAGCUAUAAAAAAGAAAGAGAGAGAGAAAAUGUACUCUUCCUCACAUCUGGCACCCGAAGGGCUGUAUCUCCAUCUAAUCCCAAAGCAAGACAACCAGCUCGCUCCCGACUUUGCUUCCGUCCAAGUCUCUUCCUCAUUUGCCUGGCACACCCAGACCGACAUCCUCCUUGCCACCCGGCUCAGUCAAAGCUGCUCCUGCUCAGGUCCGGCCCCCAUCCCCCGGCAACAUCCGCCCUGUCAAGAGGGAAGUCAAAGUGGAGCCUGAGAAGAAAGAUCCU
This 825-nucleotide long non-coding RNA is filed under the name Homo sapiens (human). Its description in RNAcentral is "non-protein coding lnc-MAP3K5-3:1". Lineage: Eukaryota; Metazoa; Chordata; Mammalia; Primates; Hominidae. The record is from RNAcentral.